GGGGAUGAUUUGGUUUCGAUUAGAGCAGUGAGGAUUAGUUGCAUGUCGGCCUGAACAUGCCGUUACACGGUUCAUUUUUUUUAGACGCAAACAAUACAAAUUACGCUCCAGCUUACGCUAAAAUAGCAUAAGUUUACCAGACUCCCCUUCAUUGGGUUGAGACUUGGAGGCUCACACUACGCAUUCUAUCUAUGUAGAUUUACGUGAGUUCACCCUUGAUAGAUUAUCACUUAAGAGUUGAUUUGCCUUUUGUGAGACAUUUAGAAUCUUAGCUUUUUGAAUAGCCUUGCAGGUUGAGCUAUCAGAGAGUGAAAUUAAUCAAUCUUUUACUAAACAUGUAGACGCUGAUAGGAGCUGUUUUAAGACUGGAGUUCAAUUCUCCACAUCUCCACCA
Molecule: transfer-messenger RNA, 394 nt
Filed under: Arcobacteraceae
Lineage: Bacteria; Pseudomonadati; Campylobacterota; Epsilonproteobacteria; Campylobacterales
Also listed under: 1 other name
Description: MAAG01 sp002163065 Standard tmRNA
Rfam family: transfer-messenger RNA
About the family: Bacterial tmRNA, also known as 10Sa RNA or SsrA, is named for its dual tRNA and mRNA-like properties. Its role is to liberate the mRNA from a stalled ribosome.
Source: RNAcentral